GCAUCGGUUUAGCUCAGUGGUUACUUCUUACAAUCUGAACGUUUCCAUUUGACGAUCCGCGGGUUGCCAAGUUCGACCACGGGCGCUGUCCGAUGUUUUU
Molecule: vault RNA, 100 nt
Filed under: Oryzias melastigma (Indian medaka)
Lineage: Eukaryota; Metazoa; Chordata; Actinopteri; Beloniformes; Adrianichthyidae
Description: Vault RNA (ENSOMEG00000003892.1)
Rfam family: Vault RNA
About the family: This family of RNAs are found as part of the enigmatic vault ribonucleoprotein complex. The complex consists of a major vault protein (MVP), two minor vault proteins (VPARP and TEP1), and several small untranslated RNA molecules.
Source: Rfam by way of RNAcentral